UCGUGAGACAGUUCGGUCCCUAUCCGCCGUGGGCGUAGGAAAUUUGAGAGGAGCUGUCCUUAGUACGAGAGGACCGGGAUGGACCAACCUCGGGUGCACCAGUUGUUCCGCCAGGAGCACAGCUGGGUAGCUAUGUUGGGAAGGGAUAAACGCUGAAAGCAUCUAAGCGUGAAGCCUACCUCAAGAUUAGAUUUCCCAUAGCGUAAGCUAGUAAGACCCCUGAAAGACUAUCAGGUUGAUAGGUUGGAGGGGUAAGUACAGUAAUGUAUUCAGCUGACCAAUACUAAUAGGUCGAGGGCUUGAUCAAAUU
RNAcentral lists this ribosomal RNA (310 nucleotides) under Clostridium botulinum C/D str. DC5. Its description in RNAcentral is "bacterial LSU rRNA". It matches the Rfam family "Bacterial large subunit ribosomal RNA", at positions 2619 to 2925 of the family's 2925-position model. Lineage: Bacteria; Bacillati; Bacillota; Clostridia; Eubacteriales; Clostridiaceae. The record is from RNAcentral.